This 253-nucleotide ribosomal RNA is filed under the name uncultured bacterium. Its description in RNAcentral is "partial 16S ribosomal RNA". It matches the Rfam family "Bacterial small subunit ribosomal RNA", at positions 524 to 776 of the family's 1533-position model. The record is from RNAcentral.
UACGUAGGGCGCAAGCGUUGUCCGGAAUUAUUGGGCGUAAAGAGCUCGUAGGCGGCUUGUCGCGUCGUCCGUGAAAACCCAUGGCUCAACUGUGGGCUUGCGGUCGAUACGGGCAGGCUGGAGUUCGGUAGGGGAGACUGGAAUUCCUGGUGUAGCGGUGAAAUGCGCAGAUAUCAGGAGGAACACCGGUGGCGAAGGCGGGUCUCUGGGCAACAACUGACGCUGAGGUGCGAAAGCGUGGGGAGCGAACAGG